GUUUACAACUCCCAAACCCACUGUGAACAUACCUUUUUGUUGCUUCGGCGGGACUGCCCCGGUGCCUUGGUGCCCGGACUCAUGGCGCCCGCCGGAGGCCCUAAACUCUUUGUUUUAUACAUGGUUUUUCUGAGUGGCGCAAGCAAAAAAUAAAUCAAAACUUUCAACAACGGAUCUCUUGGUUCUGGCAUCGAUGAAGAACGCAGCGAAAUGCGAUAAGUAAUGUGAAUUGCAGAAUUCAGUGAAUCAUCGAAUCUUUGAACGCACAUUGCGCCCGCUAGUAUUCUGGCGGGCAUGCCUGUUCGAGCGUCAUUUCAACCCUCAGGGCCCUUUGGACCUGGCGUUGGGGCUCGGCCGCUACCCCGCGGCCGUCCCCGAAAGAUAGUGGCGGUCUCGCUGUAGCUUCCUCUGCGUAGUAAUUACACCUCGCACUGGAACGCGGCGCGGCCACGCCGUAAAACACCCCACUUCUCAAGGUUGACCUCGGAUCAGGUAGGAAUACCCGC
RNAcentral lists this ribosomal RNA (506 nucleotides) under Hypocreales sp. MS296. Its description in RNAcentral is "eukaryotic LSU rRNA". The stretch from base 159 to 312 matches the Rfam family "5.8S ribosomal RNA". Lineage: Eukaryota; Fungi; Ascomycota; Sordariomycetes; Hypocreales. The record is from RNAcentral.